This 2306-nucleotide ribosomal RNA is filed under the name Staphylococcus aureus subsp. aureus CIG2018. RNAcentral describes it as "bacterial LSU rRNA". It matches the Rfam family "Bacterial large subunit ribosomal RNA", at positions 3 to 2305 of the family's 2925-position model. The record is from RNAcentral. Lineage: Bacteria; Bacillati; Bacillota; Bacilli; Caryophanales; Staphylococcaceae.
UUAAGUUAUUAAGGGCGCACGGUGGAUGCCUUGGCACUAGAAGCCGAUGAAGGACGUUACUAACGACGAUAUGCUUUGGGGAGCUGUAAGUAAGCUUUGAUCCAGAGAUUUCCGAAUGGGGAAACCCAGCAUGAGUUAUGUCAUGUUAUCGAUAUGUGAAUACAUAGCAUAUCAGAAGGCACACCCGGAGAACUGAAACAUCUUAGUACCCGGAGGAAGAGAAAGAAAAUUCGAUUCCCUUAGUAGCGGCGAGCGAAACGGGAAGAGCCCAAACCAACAAGCUUGCUUGUUGGGGUUGUAGGACACUCUAUACGGAGUUAUAAAGGACGACAUUAGACGAAUCAUCUGGAAAGAUGAAUCAAAGAAGGUAAUAAUCCUGUAGUCGAAAAUGUUGUCUCUCUUGAGUGGAUCCUGAGUACGACGGAGCACGUGAAAUUCCGUCGGAAUCUGGGAGGACCAUCUCCUAAGGCUAAAUACUCUCUAGUGACCGAUAGUGAACCAGUACCGUGAGGGAAAGGUGAAAAGCACCCCGGAAGGGGAGUGAAAUAGAACCUGAAACCGUGUGCUUACAAGUAGUCAGAGCCCGUUAAUGGGUGAUGGCGUGCCUUUUGUAGAAUGAACCGGCGAGUUACGAUUUGAUGCAAGGUUAAGCAGUAAAUGUGGAGCCGUAGCGAAAGCGAGUCUGAAUAGGGCGUUUAGUAUUUGGUCGUAGACCCGAAACCAGGUGAUCUACCCUUGGUCAGGUUGAAGUUCAGGUAACACUGAAUGGAGGACCGAACCGACUUACGUUGAAAAGUGAGCGGAUGAACUGAGGGUAGCGGAGAAAUUCCAAUCGAACCUGGAGAUAGCUGGUUCUCUCCGAAAUAGCUUUAGGGCUAGCCUCAAGUGAUGAUUAUUGGAGGUAGAGCACUGUUUGGACGAGGGGCCCCUCUCGGGUUACCGAAUUCAGACAAACUCCGAAUGCCAAUUAAUUUAACUUGGGAGUCAGAACAUGGGUGAUAAGGUCCGUGUUCGAAAGGGAAACAGCCCAGACCACCAGCUAAGGUCCCAAAAUAUAUGUUAAGUGGAAAAGGAUGUGGCGUUGCCCAGACAACUAGGAUGUUGGCUUAGAAGCAGCCGUCAUUUAAAGAGUGCGUAAUAGCUCACUAGUCGAGUGACACUGCGCCGAAAAUGUACCGGGGCUAAACAUAUUACCGAAGCUGUGGAUUGUCCUUUGGACAAUGGUAGGAGAGCGUUCUAAGGGCGUUGAAGCAUGAUCGUAAGGACAUGUGGAGCGCUUAGAAGUGAGAAUGCCGGUGUGAGUAGCGAAAGACGGGUGAGAAUCCCGUCCACCGAUUGACUAAGGUUUCCAGAGGAAGGCUCGUCCGCUCUGGGUUAGUCGGGUCCUAAGCUGAGGCCGACAGGCGUAGGCGAUGGAUAACAGGUUGAUAUUCCUGUACCACCUAUAAUCGUUUUUAAUCGAUGGGGGGGACGCAGUAGGAUAGGCGAAGCGUGCGAUUGGAUUGCACGUCUAAGCAGUAAGGCUGAGUAUUAGGCAAAUCCGGUACUCGUUAAGGCUGAGCUGUGAUGGGGAGAAGACAUUGUGUCUUCGAGUCGUUGAUUUCACACUGCCGAGAAAAGCCUCUAGAUAGAAAAUAGGUGCCCGUACCGCAAACCGACACAGGUAGUCAAGAUGAGAAUUCUAAGGUGAGCGAGCGAACUCUCGUUAAGGAACUCGGCAAAAUGACCCCGUAACUUCGGGAGAAGGGGUGCUCUUUAGGGUUAACGCCCAGAAGAGCCGCAGUGAAUAGGCCCAAGCGACUGUUUAUCAAAAACACAGGUCUCUGCUAAACCGUAAGGUGAUGUAUAGGGGCUGACGCCUGCCCGGUGCUGGAAGGUUAAGAGGAGUGGUUAGCUUCUGCGAAGCUACGAAUCGAAGCCCCAGUAAACGGCGGCCGUAACUAUAACGGUCCUAAGGUAGCGAAAUUCCUUGUCGGGUAAGUUCCGACCCGCACGAAAGGCGUAACGAUUUGGGCACUGUCUCAACGAGAGACUCGGUGAAAUCAUAGUACCUGUGAAGAUGCAGGUUACCCGCGACAGGACGGAAAGACCCCGUGGAGCUUUACUGUAGCCUGAUAUUGAAAUUCGGCACAGCUUGUACAGGAUAGGUAGGAGCCUUUGAAACGUGAGCGCUAGCUUACGUGGAGGCGCUGGUGGGAUACUACCCUAGCUGUGUUGGCUUUCUAACCCGCACCACUUAUCGUGGUGGGAGACAGUGUCAGGCGGGCAGUUUGACUGGGGCGGUCGCCUCCUAAAAGGUAACGGAG